GUAAUAUCUUCCAAUCAGAUAGCAAGAAAAAUUCACGCUGUCAACUUUGCGUUUUCCAUUUUUUCUGAACAUUCAUUUCUGUGCAGUAGAAAUCAUGCAUUAUUCCAAGUAUUCGUUGUUGGUGUAUUACAUGGUACUCAAUAAGUCAAUGAAUUUUUCGAUAGAGUACUAUAUAAUAACCAGUAACUCUAAGACUGUUAUUAGUAACUCCAACUUUUUCUUCAUGUGCAAUUAUAAUGUAUUCGGUAACCCCAAUCCUUCCUUCCCGUGGUAUGACAUUGUAUUAAAUAACCCUUGACCAUUCCUUUACGUGGUUAUUAUAUAGAACCCAGUAUCUGCGAGCAUCCUCUCUUGGUAUUAUAGGGUAUUCGGUAACUCUGAGCUUCAUUCACGUGGUAUUCUAUUGUAUUCAGUAUCUCUCAGAAUUCCUUCCCGUGGUAUUAUAUGGUAUUCAGUUACUUUGAGGCAUUUCUUCACGUUGUAAUAUAUGGUAUUCAGUAACUCCAAGCAUUCGUUCACGUGGUAUAAAAAUAGUCUUCAGUAACUUCGAGCUUUCUUAACGUGGUAUUAGUAUCUACUACCAUUCCUUCUUCUGUUAUUAUAUGGUAUUCAGUAUCUCCUACCAUUCCUUCUCGUGGUAUUAUAUAGUAUUCAGUAUUUCUGAGCAUUCCUUCCCGUGGUAUUAUAUUGUAUUCAGUAUCUUUAAGCAUUCUUAAUGUGGUAUUAUAAGGUAUUCAGUAACUCCAAGCAUUUUUCGGUAACUCCGAUCAUUCCUUCACACGGUAUCAUUAUGUAUUCAGUAUCUCCUACAAUUAAUUCACGUGAUAUUAUAGUGUAUAUCGUAACUCCUGGUAUACUUCAUAUGGUUUAUAUGGUAUUCAGUAACCCCGAAUAUUUCCCAUAGUGGCAUUAUCUUG
Molecule: long non-coding RNA, 917 nt
Filed under: Mytilus galloprovincialis (Mediterranean mussel)
Lineage: Eukaryota; Metazoa; Mollusca; Bivalvia; Mytilida; Mytilidae
Source: RNAcentral